Molecule: ribosomal RNA, 740 nt
Filed under: uncultured archaeon
Lineage: Archaea
Description: bacterial SSU rRNA
Rfam family: Archaeal small subunit ribosomal RNA
Source: RNAcentral
AAAACUGGGGUUAAUUCUCGAUGGGUGAGGAGGCCUGGAAUGGUUCUUCACUGAAAGGGCGCUAGAGGCAUGCUCUCUAACGUUGCCCAAGGAUGGGGCCGCGGCCGAUCAGGUUGUUGGUGAGGUAACGGCUUACCAAGCCUAUAACCGGUACGGGCCGUGAGAGCGGAAGCCCGGAGAUGGGCACUGAGAUAAGGGCCCAGGCCCUACGGGGCGCAGCAGUUACGAAAACUCCGCAAUGCACGAAAGUGUGACGGGGCUACCCCGAGUGCCGUCCGCUGAGGAUGGCUUUUCUCCGCUGUAAGGAGGCGGAGGGAUAAGGAGAGGGCAAGACUGGUGUCAGCCGCCGCGGUAAUACCAGCUCUCCGAGUGGUAGGGAUGAUUAUUGGGCUUAAAGCGUCCGUAGCCGGCCUAGCAAGUCUUCCGUUAAAUCCAGCAACCUAAUUGUUGGGCUGCGGGGGAUACUGUUAGGCUAGGGGGCGGGAGAGGCCGACGGUAUUCUCGGGGUAGGGGUGAAAUCUUAUAAUCCCGGGAGGACCACCAGUGGCGAAGGCUGUCGGCUAGCACGCGCCUGACGGUGAGGGACGAAAGCUGGGGGAGCGAACCGGAUUAGAUACCCGGGUAGUCCCUGCUGUAAACGAUGCGAGCUAGGUGUUGGGGCGGCUACGAGCCGCUUCAGUGCCGCAGCGAAGGCGUUAAGCUCGCCGCCUGGGGAGUACGGCCGCAAGGCUGAAACUUAA